Molecule: ribosomal RNA, 253 nt
Filed under: uncultured bacterium
Lineage: Bacteria
Description: partial 16S ribosomal RNA
Rfam family: Bacterial small subunit ribosomal RNA
Source: RNAcentral
UACGUAGGGUGCAAGCGUUAUCCGGAGUUACUGGGUGUAAAGGGAGCGUAGACGGUAAUGUAAGUCUGGAGUGAAAGGCGGGGGCCCAACCCCCGGACUGCUCUGGAAACUAUGUUACUAGAGUGCAGGAGAGGUAAGCGGAAUUCCUAGUGUAGCGGUGAAAUGCGUAGAUAUUAGGAGGAACACCAGUGGCGAAGGCGGCUUACUGGACUGUAACUGACGUUGAGGCUCGAAAGCGUGGGGAGCAAACAGG